This 356-nucleotide ribosomal RNA is filed under the name uncultured Pseudomonas sp. RNAcentral describes it as "bacterial SSU rRNA". It matches the Rfam family "Bacterial small subunit ribosomal RNA", at positions 1030 to 1382 of the family's 1533-position model. The record is from RNAcentral. Lineage: Bacteria; Pseudomonadati; Pseudomonadota; Gammaproteobacteria; Pseudomonadales; Pseudomonadaceae.
UGGUAGAGGUGCUGCAUGGCUGUCGUCAGCUCGUGUCGUGAGAGUUGUUGGGUUAAGUCCCGCAACGAGCGCAACCCCUGCCUUAGUUGCCAUCGGGUCACGCCGGGAACUCUAAGGGGACCGCCCCGGACAACCGGGGAGGAAGGUGGGGAUGACGUCAAGUCAUCAUGGCCCUUUACGGCCUGGGCUACACACGUGCUACAAUGGUCGGUACAAAGGGUUGCCAAGCCGCGAGGUGGAGCUAAUCCCAUAAAACCGAUCGUAGUCCGGAUCGCAGUCUGCAACUCGACUGCGUGAAGUCGGAAUCGCUAGUAAUCGUGAAUCAGAAUGUCACGGUGAAUACGUUCCCGGGCCUU